UGGCAAGAGAAAAAAUACACAACUAUCUCUCUGAAAUCAAAUUAUUGAAUCAAUAGGAUAAUUUUGACCGGAAGGUCCUCAAGUAGAUAAAAGAUGGAGAGGUUGAUGGCACCGCGACGGAGAUUUUUUGUGUAAGUGGCGACAGAGAGUUUGCUCGGAGGUGAAGUGGUUGAUGCGGCAAUCGGUAAAGAAAAACAAGAGAGAGAGAGAACGAGAAAGAAAUCAACACCUCACACCAUCCUCGCCGUCGCCGUCCAUAGCCGCCGCCGCCGGCCACAAACAUCGCCAGCGUCCACAACCAACCAACAGUGCCGCCGUCAUCCACCAUUACAAUGGACCCCACUAACCAUCGGUUGCCUCCAACUGUUUACAAUCGCAAGAGGAAGAGCAAGGCACUUGCCGGUGGCUCUAGUGCCCCUAUCCGUCGUUCUCGUCGGACAACUCGCGAUGAAGACGCCACCUCGCGACCCGACAAUUCUCAAGCACCGUUAACGACUGUAGAGGCUCCUCCGGUUACUGAAGUUGGUGGAUCUAAUAGCCAAUCGGCUCAAGGUUAUAGACGGUCAUUUGCUUUUGGCCUUUAUCGAGCGAUGGCAACCAAGCACUUGUACAUUUCAUUUGUCGUUGGGGGAGAUGACAAUCACGCUAGAUAACGUUAACGCCUUAAUAGGUCUGCUGGUUGUCGGACUUCUUGUGCAGAUUUAUUGUGAAAUUCGGUAUAGCAGAGAGAAUCUAGAUACGAUGGUGACUCGCAUUCUCAGAAUGUCACCGGGAUCAAAUGAGGAUGGUUGGGGGCCAUCGAACAAAUCCCUUAAGCUGAAGUGGUUGCGUGAAAAGUUUAGUGGAGUGAGAGAAAGACAUAGUCGGGAAAGAAAGUAAGGUGCGACGAGGACGUAUUUGUUGGCUAUAUGUUAGUUGAUUUUGAAUGCUAUUGAAUUAUGUUGGUUAUGUUGAAUUAUGUUGGAUAUGUUGGCUAUGAUGAAUUUUAGAUAGGUACCUUCUGGUCUAAAAAAAUUAUGUUGCAUAUUUGUCGUAACCAAAACAAGCUUAACACGAAAAAUUGCACCAACGUUCUAUUGACAGGUAACCAAUGUUGCAUAUUUUUUGUUGUCUUUUACUGUUUUUUAAUUCUUUCCUUUUUUUUUCUUUUGUAUGAAAUUUAGGUUUACAUACAUGCUGGAGUGUUGGAAACAUUAUAAGAAAUUGAUACUAUCAAUUCCAUUAAAAAAAAAGAACAAAGUUGCUCACAAAAAAAUUCGAUGGUAGAUUUUUUGUAACGCCCCGGAUUUCUCAACCUGGUUCGUUAGUCCACCUACUGGCCCACUGGGCACUGGGGCAACCACGGGCCUACCACAAGCCCACCCCAAAAGUCCAUGGAAAGUAUUGGUACCCAGUAGUAGUAGGGGAUUUGCUUAUAAACUCAAAUAGAGUUUCAUAUUAUCCCGAUCUGGGAAGGGGGGAUUUGCUUAUAAACUCAAACAGAGUUUCAUAUUAUCCCGAUCUGGGAAGGGGGGAUUUGCUUAUAAACUCAAACAGAGUUUCAUAUAUCCCGAUCUGGGACGGGGGCGUGACAUUUUUUUUGACAGGUAUCUCUCAAUUUUCAGCACAACUAUAGACAGGUACCCGUCGAUGGAAAUAUCAAAAUAUAUUGUGACGUACAAUUACUACAUAUUUUACAAACGUUCAACAUCAUCAUCAUCAUUACUCGAUAUUUCAUAAACACUCUCUUGAAGUGCUACCUUUGCACCGAACAACGUUCUAAACAUUUAUAUCCUAGUAUACAUCGCAUUACUUUGAGAUGCUACUAAAUAUUUCAUAAACACUCUCUUGAAUUCGUGUGCAUAAUCAACCACUAAUUCCCUAUUUUCCAUCUUCACUCCACUAGACGCGGCCGGAACAAUUUUUCUGCAAUAAAUAGGAGAAAAACAGUUAAAUGGACAAGAACGCAUGUCAAAUUAUCUUUACAAAAGUCGACACGUUUGUGUCAACUAGGAUACAAAGAUUCGUCAGGUUUCUAUCGAUUAAAUUCAUAAAAUCGACAAAUUUUCAAACAUGAAAUCAACACGUUCAGAUCGACAUUGCAUAUCGGGGAUUUUUUUUUCUUCCAAUUAUGAGAAAACACCACAACCAAGCUAAAAAAUUACACUGAUUUAUACCUCAUUUGAUGUUUCGUCUCUAGAAACUUCCAUAUUGGUGUCUUUUGACUCCACAAUAGCGAAGAUUGUGUAGGGUUUGGGUAGAAUUUGAGGGUUUUGAUUGGUGAGAUUUUUUGUGCAUGAUAACAAGAAAAAGGUGGUGAGAUUUUUUGUGUGUGAUAACAAGAAGAAGAUGUAUAGUAGAAAUUUGUGAAGGAGAUAAAUGGUUUUUUAUUUAUGUAAGAGUUUUUGAUGUUUUCUUCUCUUGAAUGUGUGGAGGGUUUUGAAGAACAAAAAUACUGUGAAGAAGAAGAAGAAGAAGAAGAAGACACUACAACAUUUAAGGCUUUAUACGACGAAAAAAAACCGUCGGGAAAAGUGAAAAAACCGUCAGGAACAUUAUUCGUGACGGUUUUCGACCGUCACAAAACCGUCAAGAAAAAGGCCGUCGUAUAUACUUCCACGUGUAAAAAAACCGUCAGGAAUAAUAUUUCUCGACGCUAUGAUAACCGUCGUAAAUACUCAUACAUAUUUUCAAAACCGUCGAGAAUACAUUUCUCGACUGUUGAAAACCGUCGGGAAUACUGGUACAUAUUUUUUCAAUAUUUUUUUUUUGUAAUCAAUAAACCUUUACAAAAAUUUAACCCCAUGCCAAAAAUUCGUAUAAUUUUCCAAUAUGAAUAUAAACCCAUGCUAAAAAUCACUCGGAUUUCCCAAAACAUGAAUUCUUGCUUUCCAAAAAUAUACAAUACCAAACUUCAAAAAAUCUAUCUUCAAAACAACACUUGAAGUAACCUACACAAUACAUUUACUUUCAAAGUCUACAUAUCCAUAGUUCAACAAAAUGUCCUUGCUCCCAUGCUCCAAUGUAAAAUGUGUUCCUGAACAAUCAAAGA
Non-coding RNA from Erythranthe guttata (spotted monkey flower), 3031 nucleotides. The record is from RefSeq and is a predicted model, not a curated record. NCBI's taxonomy places the organism in Eukaryota, Viridiplantae, Streptophyta, Magnoliopsida, Lamiales, Phrymaceae.